GCGAGCGGCGGACGGGUGAGUAAUGCCUAGGAAUCUGCCUGGUAGUGGGGGAUAACGCUCGGAAACGGACGCUAAUACCGCAUACGUCCUACGGGAGAAAGCAGGGGACCUUCGGGCCUUGCGCUAUCAGAUGAGCCUAGGUCGGAUUAGCUAGUUGGUGAGGUAAUGGCUCACCAAGGCGACGAUCCGUAACUGGUCUGAGAGGAUGAUCAGUCACACUGGAACUGAGACACGGUCCAGACUCCUACGGGAGGCAGCAGUGGGGAAUAUUGGACAAUGGGCGAAAGCCUGAUCCAGCCAUGCCGCGUGUGUGAAGAAGGUCUUCGGAUUGUAAAGCACUUUAAGUUGGGAGGAAGGGCAUUAACCUAAUACGUUGGUGUCUUGACGUUACCGACAGAAUAAGCACCGGCUAACUCUGUGCCAGCAGCCGCGGUAAUACAGAGGGUGCAAGCGUUAAUCGGAAUUACUGGGCGUAAAGCGCGCGUAGGUGGUUUGUUAAGUUGGAUGUGAAAUCCCCGGGCUCAACCUGGGAACUGCAUUCAAAACUGACAAGCUAGAGUAUGGUAGAGGGUGGUGGAAUUUCCUGUGUAGCGGUGAAAUGCGUAGAUAUAGGAAGGAACACCAGUGGCGAAGGCGACCACCUGGACUGAUACUGACACUGA
This 662-nucleotide ribosomal RNA is filed under the name Pseudomonas corrugata. RNAcentral's name for it is "bacterial SSU rRNA". It matches the Rfam family "Bacterial small subunit ribosomal RNA", at positions 91 to 749 of the family's 1533-position model. The record is from RNAcentral. Lineage: Bacteria; Pseudomonadati; Pseudomonadota; Gammaproteobacteria; Pseudomonadales; Pseudomonadaceae.